UACGGAGGGUGCAAACGUUGCUCGGAAUCAUUGGGCGUAAAGCGCACGUAGGCGGCCCAGCAAGUCGGGUGUGAAAGCCCUCGGCUUAACCGAGGAAGUGCAUUCGAAACUACUGAGCUUGAAUACUGGAGAGGAUCGCGGAAUUCCCGGUGUAGAGGUGAAAUUCGUAGAUAUCGGGAGGAACACCAGUGGCGAAGGCGGCGAUCUGGACAGCACUUGACGCUGAGACGCGAAAGCGUGGGGAGCAAACAGG
This 253-nucleotide ribosomal RNA is filed under the name uncultured bacterium. RNAcentral describes it as "partial 16S ribosomal RNA". It matches the Rfam family "Bacterial small subunit ribosomal RNA", at positions 524 to 776 of the family's 1533-position model. The record is from RNAcentral.